This 1631-nucleotide long non-coding RNA is filed under the name Sus scrofa (pig). Its description in RNAcentral is "lncRNA (ENSSSCG00065006521.1)". The record is from RNAcentral. Lineage: Eukaryota; Metazoa; Chordata; Mammalia; Artiodactyla; Suidae.
AUGGAUCCUGGUCAGGUUCGUUACCACGGAGCCACGACGGGGAGUCCCCUGACCCAUUCUUUACCAGGCAGAGCGGACGCUAAAACAACCUGUAAGAAUGUGAAAAGGUUGUGUGACUGGACGUCCCUCUUGCUUGCUUUAUUUGGAAGCAUAAGCAGAGUGGCAUCCCGUCGUGCCCCAGCCUGGGCUGUGCCCGCAGCGCCCGGAAGCUCAAAAUGGAGGCCAGAAGCCAAGUCCACCAGUCACCCCGACUGCAAAUGGGCUGGGGCGCCAUCCCUGGCAUCCUGGGGUCCUUCCGCUGCAGCUCAGCCUUCACGUUCACAGCCAGGACCUCCGGGCAAGGGCUGGAGGUGGAGACAGGGCGGCGCCUGGGCUCGCUUUUCACACCAGAAGUUACAUAACAGAGCAAAACUUGGACUGGCCCGUGUCCCGGGAGACCUCCAGCUUGUUUCUGUCCCGGACAAGGAUGGCCUCGUUCCCGUACUGAGAGUACCACAUGCUUCGGCUCCGGCUCAGGGAAACGUAAGAGGAGCCUCGGAGCAUGUUCUGAAGAGACACCCAAGAACCACACGAGAGAUGACAGCAAGCAGAUCAGCAGUGUCCUGGCCACAGUUUCCUGGGGACAGUCAGGUAUGCCCUUUAUUAGGACAAUGCACCCUCCUGGGGGGGGGGGGGUUUUGCAGGGGCCGGUGGGGGAGGGAGACCAGGAAGAUGCCACCAAGCCCUGGGGGACUGUGAUGCAUAGCUGCUCCCCUUGGCUCCCAGCACACUCCGGGGGAGACUGCUUUUGUCACAAGUCCCCUGGGACAGGAAAAGCUUGCUGAUUUUGAGGUGAUGGAGGAAAACCCUUCACGGCACCUAUCUUUUAUUUCAUUGAUGCAAUGGCAGCAGUCCCGGUUCCUAAUCAGGGGAGCAGAGCCAGGCUUCAGGCAGAUCCCAUGCUGCCCAGUAUGACAGCAGCCAGGAGCCACAGCGUGUGGCUGCUGGACUCUUGAAUGUGGUUUGUUUGAUGGAGGAGCUGAAUUUUUAAUUGUAUUUAAUUUCAGUUAACGUCACACCGGAUAUUCAGUUCAGUUUUGGGCAAACUUGUAAGUGUAUUUAAAUUACCCUAGGCACACGCGUCUAUUUUUCAAAUGAUACGUCUUCUGAACUUUAGCUACGGAUCAAACGCGUCCUUAACGGUGAUCAGCGUUUCCGAUGACAGUUUAGCGGUCACGCUGAAAUGUGCUGAGUGUAAAAAUGCCCUGGUUUCGAAGACUUCACAACAUGCAAAGAGAAACGGAAAGGAGCUGGCGAAUACGUUUUUGGGUUGAUUCCAUGUUGAAGUGAUACUAUUUCAGAUAAGAUGGAUUAAAUAAAACGAAUUAUUCAAACGGAAUCCACCUACAAGGGGUUAUUCUCCAGCCGUAAAAAGGAACGGAGGACGUGUUCCCAGGCGACCACGUGCACGAACCUGGCACCAGGCUGUGCGCAGGGAGCACACGUGUUCUGCGAUUCCACGGACGCGACGCGACCGGAGGAGGCGGGGCCGUGGAGACAGGAAGUAGGUGGGCGUGGCGUGGGCGGCGUGGUGGGGGCGGCCGCUUGGGGUGGCUUUUGGGGGGUGAACGCGUCCCGGGGUCCAGCAGGCA